CAGUGCUGGGAUUACAGGUGUAAGCCACCGUGCCUGGUCUAAACCCCCUUUUAAACAAGGUCCUCUUAGCCAGACACAGAACAAGUGUGUGUUAAAUAAAUGAGACAGGAAACAUCAAAUGGUGACGGUUUGUAUUUUUUUUAAUGAGCCAUGUUAACUGAAAUGAGGUGGACACAGAAGGGAAAUAGGGUCAGGAAACUUUGGUGAAGGUAUAACGUUUAUAUGAUGGCACUUCUGCUGACAGUGUCCUCAGAAGUUGCCUGCCCUGAGGCUCUUUAAAACAGACUAGCUGAAUUUCCAUACAUGCCCUUCUUGUUCUCUUUGCCUCACUAGUUGUCUUCCUCCAAUUUCUUCCCAAGUGAGCCUUCAUGAUGUAUUCAUGAUGAGCCUUUGUGAUAUACUCUUCAAGACCAACCUUUUAGCAAGAAAGGGUUUUAUAUCUAGUCUUUUGUAUCUCUGUUAAAUGUGGCAAGCAGAGAAAACUUUAUAGCCAUCACUUAGAUGAAAUAUAGCAAUGUAACGAAUCCUAUGUUAUAAAAACCACGUUUGUUUUACUUUCCUUUCUCUUUGUCCUUAACUUCCUCCAGGCAGGAUUGCUUGCACAUAGUCAUUUUGGUAGUGGGUAGUCACUAAUAAGUGAUUAACUUCAUAUCCUAACCCCCAGGGGAUGCUUGCAAGAUUAAUGAGCUUGUUUUUCUUAUAAAGAACAAUGAUCCUUGGUCAUGCUGACCUCCUUGAUGGCAUGCAGAAGUUUGGCCAAGGGAUGCAAGCAGCUUUGAUAAUCAGGAGAUCUCACUUCCCACACACCUUCCUUACUCAUAAAAGCCACCAGUUAUGUGCAAAGGGAGGUUGAAUUUGAGAAUUUGCCUCUCCCACCCUCAUGCUUUGGACAAUUUGAAUAAACCUUUCUCUGCUCUGAAGCACUCAUAUGUCAGUAUUUGGCUUACUGUGCAUCAGGUACCUGACGUAAGUUUUGGGGUUCUGCAACAGAUUCUGACAACAUGGCAGUAGGCCCAGCCAGGUCAGGCAAACAAGUGCCAGAAGCUGCCCAGGCUUGUUUGUUGGGGGGCCCUAAAGUAGCUCUUCUAGGUCAGUGUCAGCUGCCGUUGGUGCUCUAGAAGCUUACAGCAGAGAAACAUCUCAGACUGCUAUCUGGACUUCCAGUUUUGGUUUGAAGGGUUUAAAGAAAGGGGUUCCUCAGGUAAAGAACCUCAAUAAGGUACAGGAAGUACAGCAGCAAGCAUAUGAGGACUCUUCAUAAUUCAUAGAAAGAUGUCAUCAGACAUAAUGAAAAGUAGAUUGACACUAACCCUGAGGCACCCGACAAUCAGAGAAUGGUCAAUGUGACCUUAAUCAGCCAGAAGCCCUGAUAUUCAAAGAAAACUGCAAAUAGAGCCCUGGAUACAACUGACAGUGGGGAACAGAAUGAUGGACUUUUUAGUUGACACAGUGCCACAUAUUAAUUUGCAGGUUUCAAAUAUUCCUGCUCCAACCAGAAAACGAAGAGGUUCAGGACAUUCCAGAAGAAAUUCUCAUGCAGGUAAGGAGAGAUGUUUGGGCCAGGGGAAGCCAGGGAGAGUGGUCACAGACAGACCCAUAGCAAUUAAAUGAA
Cebus imitator (Panamanian white-faced capuchin) is the source of this 1612-nucleotide long non-coding RNA. RefSeq lists it as uncharacterized. The record is from RefSeq and is a predicted model, not a curated record. The transcript is spliced from 4 exons. Lineage: Eukaryota; Metazoa; Chordata; Mammalia; Primates; Cebidae.